Molecule: ribosomal RNA, 474 nt
Filed under: uncultured Curtobacterium sp.
Lineage: Bacteria; Bacillati; Actinomycetota; Actinomycetes; Micrococcales; Microbacteriaceae
Description: bacterial SSU rRNA
Rfam family: Bacterial small subunit ribosomal RNA
Source: RNAcentral
AAUUGACGGGGCCCGCACAAGCGGCGGAGCAUGCGGAUUAAUUCGAUGCAACGCGAAGAACCUUACCAAGGCUUGACAUACACCGGUAACGCCCAGAGAUGGGUGCCCCUUUGUGGUCGGUGGACAGGUGGUGCAUGGUUGUCGUCAGCUCGUGUCGUGAGAUGUUGGGUUAAGUCCCGCAACGAGCGCAACCCUCGUCCUAUGUUGCCAGCGGGUCAUGCCGGGGACUCAUGGGAGACUGCCGGGGUCAACUCGGAGGAAGGUGGGAUGACGUCAAAUCAUCAUGCCCCUUAUGUCUUGGGCUUCACGCAUGCUACAAUGGCCGGUACAAAGGGCUGCGAUACCGCGAGGUGGAGCGAAUCCCAGAAAGCCGGUCUCAGUUCGGAUUGGGGUCUGCAACUCCGACCCCAUGAAGUCGGAGUCGCUAGUAAUCGCAGAUCAGCAACGCUGCGGUGAAUUACCGUUCCGGGCCUU